Molecule: small RNA, 280 nt
Filed under: uncultured Sneathiella sp.
Lineage: Bacteria; Pseudomonadati; Pseudomonadota; Alphaproteobacteria; Sneathiellales; Sneathiellaceae
Description: 5' ureB small RNA
Rfam family: 5' ureB small RNA
Source: RNAcentral
UCGAUUUGUUGAGGACAAAUAAAGUGAAUAUGUGCAUCCACACCGCCAGCUGUCAGGAUUUUUCCCUCCCCAGCGAUAAUCUCAGUCGAAGGGCCGAUAAUGAUAUCAACACCGCUCUGAAUAUCGGGAUUUCCGGCUUUGCCAAUUCGGAAAAUUUUUCCAUCUCUAAGCGCAACGUCGGCUUUAACAAUGCCCCAAUGGUCCAAAAUAAGCGCAUUGGUAAUCACCGUAUCAGCGGCCCCGCCAGCACGGGUAACUUGCGACUGCCCCAUACCGUCAC